CCAAUAGCGUAUAUUAAAGUUGCUGCAGUUAAAAAGCUCGUAGUUGAAUUUCGGGACUAAUAUGUCGGUCGUGCCUCGGUACGUACUGGUAUUUUUGGUUUCUCCCUUCUGACGAACCUUGAUGUCAUUAAUUUGGUGUCUUGGGAAAUCAGGACUGUUACUUUGAAAAAAUUAGAGUGUUUAAAGCAGGCUCACGCUUGAAUACAUUAGCAUGGAAUAAUGAAAUAGGACGUUUGAUUCUAUUUUGUUGGUUUCUAGGAUCGACGUAAUGAUUAAUAGGGAUAGUUGGGGGCAUUAGUAUUCAAUUGUCAGAGGUGAAAUUCUUGGAUUUAUUGAAGACUAACUACUGCGAAAGCAUUUGCCAAGGAUGUUUUCAUUAAUCAAGAACGAAAGUUAGGGGAUCGAAGACGAUCAGAUACCGUCGUAGUCUUAACCAUAAACUAUGCCGACUAGGGAUCGGAUGAUGUUAAUUUUUUAAUGACUCAUUCGGCGCCUUAC
RNAcentral lists this unclassified non-coding RNA (498 nucleotides) under uncultured Glomus. RNAcentral describes it as "SSU rRNA". It matches the Rfam family "Eukaryotic small subunit ribosomal RNA", at positions 591 to 1091 of the family's 1831-position model. Lineage: Eukaryota; Fungi; Glomeromycota; Glomeromycetes; Glomerales; Glomeraceae. The record is from RNAcentral.